Molecule: ribosomal RNA, 440 nt
Filed under: uncultured bacterium
Lineage: Bacteria
Description: partial 16S ribosomal RNA
Rfam family: Bacterial small subunit ribosomal RNA
Source: RNAcentral
CCUACGGGUGGCAGCAGUGAGGAAUAUUGGGCAAUGGGGGCAACCCUGACCCAGCCAUGCCGCGUGAGUGAAGAAGGUCUUCGGAUUGUAAAGCUCUUUCGGACGUGACGCUGAUGACGGUAGCGUUUAAAGAAGCACCGGCAAACUUCGUGCCAGCAGCCGCGGUUAUACGAAGGGUGCGAGCGUUGUUCGGAAUUACUGGGCGUAAAGGGAGUGUAGGCGGGUAUGUAAGAUAGGGGUGAAAUGCCGGGGCUCAACCCCGGAACUGCCAUUAUGACUGUGUAUCUAGAGUGAUGGAGAGGAAAGCGGAAUGCGUGGUGUAGAGGUGAAAUGCGUAGAUAUUGGGUAGAACACCGAUGGCGAAGGUAGCUAUCUGGCCAUUUACUGACGCUGAGGCUCGAAAGCAUGGGGAUCAAACAGGAUUAGAUACCCGAGUAGUC